CCUACGGGUGGCUGCAGUGGGGAAUAUUGCACAAUGGGGGAAACCCUGAUGCAGCGACGCCGCGUGAGUGAAGAAGUCUCUCUGUAUGUAAAGCUCUAUCAGCAGGGAAGAAAAUGACGGUACCUGCUUAAGAAGCCCCGGCUCACUACGUGCCAGCCGCCGCGGUCAUACGUAGGGGGCGAGCGUUAUCCGGAUUUACUGGGUGUAAAGGGAGCGUAGACGGCAGUACAAGUCUGGAGUGAAAUGCCGGGGCUUAACCCCGGAACUGCUUUGGAAACUGUGCAGCUAGAGUGCGGGAGAGGUAAGUGGAAUUCCUGGUGUAGCGGUAAAAUGCGUAGAUAUUAGGCAGAACACCAGUGGCGAAGGCGGCUUACUGGAGUGUAACUGACGUUCAGGCUCGAAAGCGUGGGGAGCGAACAGGAUUAGAUACCCCUGUAGUC
This 440-nucleotide ribosomal RNA is filed under the name uncultured bacterium. RNAcentral describes it as "partial 16S ribosomal RNA". It matches the Rfam family "Bacterial small subunit ribosomal RNA", at positions 338 to 795 of the family's 1533-position model. The record is from RNAcentral.